RNAcentral lists this long non-coding RNA (5174 nucleotides) under Paramuricea clavata. The record is from RNAcentral. Lineage: Eukaryota; Metazoa; Cnidaria; Anthozoa; Malacalcyonacea; Plexauridae.
UUUCCCUAAAGUUUACAUGCAUGAACUAUAGUUAAGAUUGUCGCUCCGAAAACCAUCGUAAUGUUAGCAUGUUCAGGAUUGUUAACUUCUUGGUAAUAUAACAUUUUUACGAUCAUUCUGGUUGUCCUAAAGACGUAUUUGAGGAAAAUUUAAGGUUGGUAUUUCCGUAUUUGAUAUGUUGUUGUGAAAUGUUCGCCUCAAUGAUACUCAUGUGAUCGGACAAGGAAUUUGAUGUAAUGUCCUUACAAUUUUAGUUUGUAAUGUCUAAUAUGGAUAAACGUAGGACUGCAAUAUUUAGUUAUUAAGAAUAUGAAAUAGAUAUUUGGUAUAAAAUUAAAAUGGCUACAUAUACGCAAUAUUAUGUAUAUACCAUAUUUCAUUGACAUGUAGCCUGUGCACAUCCUGUAUUACCCUAAUGCACUAGUCAAUUGAAACCCCAGCCACCCGACCCCCGGGAAAAAGCGGGAAAAUUAACAUUUUGACAAUGUUAAACUUUGGUAAUUUCCCCGCCAUGGGGGGAAUAUUGACUGUUAAAGUUACCGCCCCUAUGGCCCGGCACUUUGCAAAUUUUCAUGACUUGGGAAAUGGGAAAUCGUUGAAGUAUAAAAUGUUCACAACAUGUGAAGGCAAUGCUUGAUCUUAAACUUUGAUCCGCAUCAAAAGAUACUGAAUAAGUCUACGUUUCGACUAUUUUGCAGUCAUCAUCAGGAAAGUGAAAAUAUAUUUCCUUUUUUUUUAAGAAAAACUAUGAGGAAACAAUGAUAAAACAGACAAAAGUUUAUAAAAUAUCUUCUCUGACUUCGAAGAUUCCGCCAUGUUGCCACGACGAUAAACACGUUCCAGUCCACUUUCGUAUCAGCCGCGCGUUAAAGUCCCGGCUAUUGUCCCGGCUAAUAAAUUGACUUGUUAUUUCCCCUGUACCCCGGGGAAAAUGGUGCAUUAAACCUGUGUUAAUCCACGGCCAUUCCCCCGUUAAUUCCCCGCCCUGUCCCGGGGGUCGGGAGGCCGGGGUUUCAAUUGACUAGUGCAUAAUUGACAUGUAAUGUAUCAGUCAAUUCCAGCGGUGGCCACAGGGCCGUAGCUAGCAUGUAUAGUUGGGGGGGGGGGGGGGGUGUAAGCCAAAAAUUUCCGAAUGACAAAAAAAAAAUUCCAAAUAUUUCAUGGUGUACGAAGCCACAAAAGUGUUUGCUAUCCGGAAAAAGAAGAUGCAACUUACAAACAAAAAUACGCAUAUUGUACGCACAGACAUAUUACAGAAGCAUACAGUGCCAUAGGAAGCUCUUUUUGAUUGGGGGUGGGAACGAGGGCCGAAGGCCCGAGGAAAUUUUUAAAUUUAGAUUCUCUGAAAUGCCAUUUCCUAGACUUUGGGGGAAGUUUUUACAGAAUUCUGAUGGUCAAAAAACAGAGUUUUAGUAUGAUAUUUGUGAUGUUACUUUGAGUAUGCAUUCACACCGGGUGAAAAGUUUGUUUGGUCACAGUGAGGUGUCGAACCUGCGACCUUUGGGAUACUAGUCAAAUGCUCUGCCAACUGAGCUACGUGGUCAAGUCGGUUCGAUUUCUUGAUAUUUUGGAACUGAAUAUAGUUCCUUCAAUAUCAGUGUAAUCUAUGAUAUGAUUUUUGUGUGUGUGUCGCUGUUAUAUACUUAGGUGAAUAUGUUUGUGAUGUUACUCUGAGUGUGCAUCUACACCGGGCAAGCUCAAAAAUUUUCUUGGCCACGGCGGAAAUGAGGGAAUCGAACCCGCGACCUUUGAGAUACUAGCCCAAUGCUCUGUCAUAUGCAACUGAGCUACGUGGUCAAGUCGGUUCGAGUUGUUAAUAGAGUUUUAGUAUGUCGAAAUCUGUUACAAUUUGCUUACAAUUUAGUAGUACUAAAUGAACAAAGGCGUAUUAAUUAACUUUACACUGGAGAAGUUGCAGGAAAGAGUAAGGGUAAUAUGAUUCUUUGCGGGUUGUCAUGGAUAAUGUAGACGCUUAGAAUUAAUCAAUUGUCAGUAUUUUAAAAGUAUAUUAUUUAAAUGAUUCCUACCAGGUUCGAUUCCUACCAGAGGACCUUGUGCUGCAUUUUUCGCAGUCGUUCCUGGUAGGUCUUAAAAUGUACUAUAUAUUCUUACUUGGAUUACAAACCCUAACAUCCUAAUGAAAUUUUCUUAUAUUAUUAUUGCCGUAAUUUUCCGAAUGGCCAACCUGAUUUUCCGAAUAUGUUAAUUUUACAAUAUCCCCCUUGCUACGGCCCUGGGUGCCCCCUGGGGGGGGGAGGGGGUAUGAAAAUUUUUCGGCACAAAUUUUUUGCAGGAUUUGUUUAUGCAUUUAACUCUGCAGGAUUGUUUUAUGCAUUUAACCUCUGCAAGAAUUUUUUUUUCAAAACUAUUUGCACUAACGCCAAUUUACUACGUUUUUUAUUAUACUCGUAAUCUGAUUGCUUCACAGGUGUGCGAUUUCAGCACGAUUCGCACUGCGAUUCGUGCUGAAAUCGCACCUUCUUUCAACCAAUCACAUUAGAGUGCUGAUUUCAGCCCAAUCAUAUUUAAUCAUAGCAUUCAAACUGAAACAGCCAAUCAAUUUUAAAGAAAAAUGUGAUAUGGCAAGUGAGCAAAAACAAAAAAAUUACAGAUGUUUUAUUUAUUUAUUUAUUAACUUUACAACCAUACAUAAAAUAGAUUAAACCACUACAUAAUAUGGUUGAAGGUAUGGUUAACAGGACAUGAAUAGCCCCAUGUGAAGACCAACCUCAUGUCAUGAAUGAUUUAAAAUUAAGCAAUUUUUUGCACAUAAAAAACAAACUAGUAAUAUGGAUAGUUACAGUGAACUAUCAAAGAAUUUCAAAUUUUCAUGUUUUACAAAUAGUAACAAGCAAAUUAAGAACAUAAUUUUCUAUCAAAUUGAACGUAUAAAAUAUAAAUUUAAUAGCAAGACCUCAUCUUGUUCGCUUAUUGUUGCUAUGCUACAACACUCAGGAAGGUACCGGAGGUGUGUCUUUUGCAAACAAAAACGUUUUUAUACAAAAAUGUUUAAGAUUUCAAAAUGAAUAUAAUAUAAUAUUAAAUGAAACAUGCAUUAAUGAUUAAACAUCUUUUACAAUAGAAAACUUUAUAUAUAAAACAUUCAUAUAAAAACUUUAAAUAAAAAGUUGCUGUUUGCUUGCACGAUUUUUUUUUCUCUGACGUAAUGACUGCAGGAAUUUUUUUUCCCAGGCAUUUUCCUUCGUACGAACUUUUUGGGGGAAUUUUUACUCCCCCCCCCCUCCCGGGAUUUCUAAUUGUCCGGCGAACAAUACAAGUGCCGUGGCGUAGCAAACUCGAUAAUUGGGGGGGGGGCAAUAUUCACAUUUUCGUGUUCACAAACCUUAAAAACAAUUGAUUUCAAAAGAAAUUAAUGAUGCAAAACACGAAUAUAUGAAUAUUGCCCCCCAAUUAUCGAGUUUGGUACGCCACUGUAUAAGUGCGAAGUACAAAAAAAAGUUCUACAACAGGAUAAAAAUGCUUUAAUAUUAAUGCAACACUGUAUAAAUUCUCAACCCUAACGUCGGCGCAUCUACUGUAGCUAGACCUAUGAUAAUAUAAUGUCAACCUUUGAAAAUCUUAUAUAUCUUUACUUAAAGGUCCAGACACACUGGACGCUAUUCGACAACGCGACGCGAUUUUUCGAUUUUCACUGACCGAUAACUUUGAUCCUAGUAGUUAAACUUUCUAAAUAUUUAGAAGCGUUAUAACAUUUUGAGUUAUUUGGUCUAAAUAUCUUUUAAAAUUUGCUUUAUUAAUUAGUUUUAUUAACAUUCAAAAACUAAAAAAUCCAACGAAAUCUGCCAUGUUAUAGUUCGCCAAUUGCCACGAUGGAAAACGUCUAAGUCCCCACCCCCGGGCUGAAAAAUUUCGGCAAUAGCAUCACCCCCGGGAUUAGGAAAGCUGCGAAGGCCUAGGGGUGGCCCGGGGGGAUGGGCACUCCUGGAAUUGACUGAUACAUAAAUCAUGCAUGGCCGCAUGUUUUAAUACUUUCGAAGUUCCUAUUCAAGGUAGACGUUUAAUUGAAUAGUGUUUCAGUACUUACUAGGCUUUGGAAGUAGGAAAUCUAAUCUGUUACGUGUGGGAUAGACAAUGAUCACGUGUGUUCAGUGGGAUAUAGACUCCCAAGAAUUAGUUAGACGGCCGCGAGGGCCGAAGGCCCGAGUGGCAGUCUAACUAAUUCGAGGGAGUCUAUAAUCCCACUGAACACACGUGAUUAGAACAUGAUAACCAACUUAGAACAUGAUCACACCCACGAGGAAUGUCUGGUUUAAUUAUGUGUAUUGUUAACAAAUAAUUAGUAUUGUGUUCCUUUUUAAUUAUGAUGAAAUAGGUUUUUUCGGGCAUUAUUUUAUUUUGCCGAAGGGAUUUUAACUACAAUGUUUGGUCUUUGUUUGGUUUUCAGGGUUUGAUCGAUUCGGUUUUAGGGUUUUAUUAAUAUGUCAGUGAUAGGCAUAGGCGUUUUUCGAAAGCAUGGACGGGCUGUUGCAGCGAAGCAAUUGAAGCGAUUAAUGCGACGCAAGAUUUCUUGCUUUCUGAACCAGUAGAUAUUUCAAAAUAUUUGGACGAAGAAGGAGAGUGUGGUAGGUUCGAAAAUUGAAACGGCCGUAGACGAAUAUUCUUCGGUUACAUUUACUUUUAAAACGACAAACGUGAAAGAGGUCGACUAUUGGUUAACAAGAUUUAUUUUGGAAGCUAGGAGAGGGAGGAUGGGAAGCCAUACCCAGCAAACAGUUACUAACAUUGCUACUGGGCUAUUGAGACAUUUCAAAAACGAUCUUAAGAGGUUUCAUUUGAACAUCCUGGCAAAGAACGACGCCAAUUUUUCAUAAUUUAUAGAAACGCUUGGAUUCAAAGAUGAAAGAAAUGACAAGUGCUGCCAUUAGCACGACGAAAUAUGUGUCAGAUCAUUUAACGUUAGCAGAGGAAGAACUGUUCUCGUCGUCAGGCACUAUUGGUUACUGAACGAUACUCAUUUAUUAUAUCUCCGGCGGGCGUGCGGGCGAGCGUGUGUGUGCAUGGGAGUGUUGAGUGUGUCUAUUUGUGUGUGUUUGUAUUUGUGUAAGGAUUGUGUGAAUAUAUACAGCUGUAUUUUUGAGCUUUAUAUUAAAUAACAAUUUUUGCAGUAAACAAUUUUGUCUUUGACGCCUUUAAAUGUAACUCAUUAGUAUGCC